GCCUUGCAAAGUCGACAUAUGCUAAUAAAAAUUUUAAGGGGUAAGGCGCCAAAGUGAGCCUUUGAAGAUCUGCCAUCUCCCACCAGAAAGCUGCGGCUGACAAAGCCCUGUUUACAGGCAGCCGGCACAGCCUCCCAGAACGUGGCACCCGCGGGCAGAAUGUAUUAUUUACACCUGAAACUGAGACUCACUAGUGACUGAGCCCAUGGCCUCUUGUUACCUCUAAGUGCAAGCCUUCCACGUGUUAGCGAUGGCCAGCAGCCAUUUGGGAGGAAGAGGAAGGAGUGGAAAGCAGGGCCCAGCCCUCUGGGUCCUCUCCUCACACUCUGCCACACUAGUGUCCUUGGAGUGACUGUGCGCACCGCAAAUAAAUUUUAAAAAAAUGCAACUUGGUGAACCUGAAUAACACCGUGACGGGAGAAACGUUUUCUGUGGUUCGUCUUGACGACCCACAGGUCCAGUUUCCAUCGCAGACUCUCUCGGAGCCUUGACCGUGAAUCGAGGAUACUAAGGAACAGCUUGAGGGGUGUGACCUUCUCCACUGUCAUGGGACGCUGAAACCCAUUUUUCGAAGAGUGUGUUGUAUAGACAUGUUGAAGAUCCCUGUCUGGGUAAAAGUUGUUCUAAAAGGAAACCUAGAGAAUGACCGCAUAAACGUGUGUGGUGCCUAUUCCUGCAAUUACCUGGGACUCCUCUUUUGGCAGUUUGACCCUCUGUGGGUGAGAGGCACCGGGCUGUGGCCCAGGCAGGCUGAGAAGGGACAGUCUGCAUACAGUUGGCUUUUCUACAUUUAUGGAACUGGACCACACUGCCCCCAAGUCUAGGGGACAGAGAGCAACUACUGUACUUAGAAAUAGAUGUGCUUUCGGGAGACAGUAAUUGUAUUACAUUCCGCUGGGCCUAGACCGCUGCUCUCCAAGACAAGACAGCAUGCCAUACCCUCAGGCAGCCCAGGAAUGGUGGCUUUGGAACCUAACCAGCAAGCUGUAAGAGACACCGUGCCGUGUGACCCCAGUGGUGAGUUGCAAAGAGACAAGACCAGACCCUGAUUCUGGUUUACACGCCGGCCCCAGCUGACAAGGCUCGGGUGGGAAGACGCAGAGCCAGUCACUCAGGUCCUGCCAUAGAUGACAAUGUGUGCUCAGCCCUCUCAAGACACACACCUUCUGCUGGUGGCAUCUCCUUGGAGCCUGGGCAGGCUAAGGACGCCACACAGAGUGGCUGGGCAUCCACGUAGAGAGCCUUUGACCCACGCGAAGUCAACACUGGACAGACAGAUGACAUGGAGAGGCUGGGAAGCAGAGGACACAGAUGCACCAAGGUCCUUCCUGCAAGCUGUACCCAGUCGUCUAGACUGGCCUUUCUAGGGACGCGGGACCAUCAUCCUUGUGACAACUGGGCUAGGGACCUCGUGUCCUCCUCAUCCUGCACAAACUCUAGCCAUUCCUUCCCAAACGUCUCUGUUCUAAGAGCAACCGAGAAGUCUCUCCCCGGUUAGGGGGCUCUCUCUGCAGCAUCCUCCAGGCGGACCUCCCUCAUGAGCUCCCCUGUUAGCACCAUCCUCAUGAAGUCAAGCCCUUUACACAGAAACCAUGAUUGCCCUAGCCAGAAAUGCACGCACAUAAGAGGUCACAAUCUGUCCCCAACCACAUUUCUGAUCCGCCACUCUUCAGUCUCUGUGGCCAGUGAUGACACCAUCUACCAUCGCAUAAAACCCUGGCAUUAUUUGUCCCUGACUUACUCACCCCUGUAUUACUAGGAAACCCCUCAUUGUUUACCAAAAAAACCCACAUCACGAGCUAACCUUAUCUGCCCUGACUCCGUGACUUUGUCCUUGGGGCCUAUUUGUUCCUGGCCCUGCAUGGCACCCUUUAGGGCUGCUCAGAUCACAUGCCCAUACCCUGCUCAGGGACAGGGACCCCACACAGCUGAAGUCCCCCAACUUGUAUGAUGUUAAACAGUGAGGAGGAGCAUGCUAAGUGUUGUGGUUUAAAUAACAAUGCCUCCCCAUAGGCUCCUCUACUUGAUUGACUGGUCAUUAGGGAGUGAAACUGCUUGACGUUUGUGUGUGUGUGUGCGUGUGUGUGUGUGUGUGUGUGUGUGUGUGUGUCUGUCUGUCUGUGUCUGUGUCUGUGUCUGUGUCUCCUUGCUGCCUGCAGAUCCAGACAUAGAACUCUCAGCUAUUUCCCCGCCCUACCCACCUGCAUGUAGCCGCGCUGCCUCCCCCACCUCCUCCACCACGAAACCUC
Molecule: long non-coding RNA, 2249 nt
Organism: Mesocricetus auratus (golden hamster)
Lineage: Eukaryota; Metazoa; Chordata; Mammalia; Rodentia; Cricetidae
Exons: 3
Source: RefSeq, a predicted model, not a curated record